Molecule: transfer RNA, 87 nt
Filed under: Acetobacteraceae bacterium
Lineage: Bacteria; Pseudomonadati; Pseudomonadota; Alphaproteobacteria; Acetobacterales; Acetobacteraceae
Description: tRNA-Leu
Rfam family: tRNA
About the family: Transfer RNA (tRNA) molecules are approximately 80 nucleotides in length. Their secondary structure includes four short double-helical elements and three loops (D, anti-codon, and T loops).
Source: RNAcentral
GCGAGCGUGGCGGAAUGGUAGACGCACAGGACUUAAAAUCCUGAGUUCCGAUGGAACGUGGGGGUUCAAGUCCCCCCGCUCGCACCA